AGCCAGCAGCCGCGGUAAAACGUAGGAGGCGAGCGUUAUCCGGAUUCACUGGGCGUAAAGCGCGCGUAGGCGGUUGGUUUAGUCGGACGUGAAAGCCCCUGGCUCAACUGGGGGAGGCCGUUCGAUACUGGCCGGCUUGAGGGUGAGAGAGGAGAGUGGAAUUCCCGGUGUAGCGGUGGAAUGCGUAGAGAUCGGGAGGAACACCAGUGGCGAAGGCGACUCUCUGGCUCACCCCUGACGCUGAUAGCGCGAAAGCGUGGGGAGCAAACGGGAUUAGAUACCCCGGUAGUCCACGCCCUAAACGAUGAGGGCUAGGUGUUGGUGGGAUUACCCAUCUGUGCCGAAGCUAACGCGUUAAGCCCUCCGCCUGGGGACUACGAACGCAAGUUUAAAACUCAAAGGAAUUGACGGGGGCCCGCACA
This 422-nucleotide ribosomal RNA is filed under the name uncultured bacterium. RNAcentral's name for it is "bacterial SSU rRNA". It matches the Rfam family "Bacterial small subunit ribosomal RNA", at positions 506 to 927 of the family's 1533-position model. The record is from RNAcentral.